GACACAGGUGGUGCAUGGUUGUCGUCAGCUCGUGUCGUGAGAUGUUGGGUUAAGUCCCGCAACGAGCGCAACCCUCAUUCCUGGUUGCCAGCAGUAAGAUGGGGACUCCGGGGAGACUGCCGAGGAAGACUUGGAGGAAGGUGGGGAUGACGUCAAAUCAUCAUGCCCCUUAUGGUUUGGGCUACACACGUGCUACAAUGGCGCUG
Molecule: ribosomal RNA, 206 nt
Filed under: uncultured Johnsonella sp.
Lineage: Bacteria; Bacillati; Bacillota; Clostridia; Lachnospirales; Lachnospiraceae
Description: partial 16S ribosomal RNA
Rfam family: Bacterial small subunit ribosomal RNA
Source: RNAcentral